ACUAUCUGGUGUAUCUAUAGGGAGGAGCCUCUGGGGGAGAAGGGAGGUCCAGCCCCAGGGCAAAAAAGUUCAGGAUUUGGGGCUGGGGAUUUCAGGUAGUGACUGAGGGAUGCUGGGAGAAACUGGAGGUCAGUUCUAAUAUGCACCUCAGUUCCACAUCCCUGAGUCUAAAACCAAACGCUUGGGAAACUGUAACCUCUGCUCUAAGUAUGCUUUCCGUGACACCGCCCUUGUUUACUUGGUCUCUACACAGCUGCACCCCCCGGCCCCUGCGUGUGGACCCAAAUUGUAGACAAAUCCAUUUUUCCACUUUAUGUGUUUUACUGUUUUCUCUUGAUAAGAGGCUGAGCGGCUGGAAUCAAAGGCAGGCCUUUUCUGCCUGGGGAUCCAGUAGCACAGAGGAGGGAAGACUGCAGGAACUUGAGGUCAUUCUUCAAGGACUCCUGAAAUGCUUUCAUAAGGAGACCUGGCAGAGCAACACAGGAUGGAGCACGCCUUGAAUCACAGUCCUCAGGAUACAGAUGCAAGUGGAUCUCUGAGUCCCAGGCUGGCCCGGUCCACACAGAGAAACCCUGUCUUGGGGACAAAACCAAACCAAACCAAACCAAACAAACAAAACAACAUGAAGGCUUGGAUUUCAGGGGACCCUAACCAGUUUAGCUUCGUGACCACCAAAGACUGGGAAAAUCUAGCUGGCCACACCUGUUCUUUCUAACAAGCAGUCAGAAGCUGGCUGCGUCAGCACAGCGCAGCUGAGCCCCUGCGCUUAGUGGGGUCUUUAAGGGACCCACUGCCCAGGCUCCACUCACCUGCCAACUACUGUCUGCUGCUGCUGCCUCCAUCCCAGAGCUGCACCAUCUGGUACAAUGUUCUUAUCCAAGUGCAGGGUCCACUUGGCCCCGGGCUUCUCCUCCCGGAUCAGUUCUUGAAAUCUCUGCUCCCAAGUACUGAAGUCAUCGGAGAACAGCAUUCUCAGAGGUGAAAGCUAAGACCCUGGUUAGUAGGCAGCUCUCUGUCUUCUUCCUCAAUUCUGGGAGAGAGAGAGAACAAAGAACAGUUUCAGUUUCCCAGUUCUUUCAGUUUCCUUUUCCCCUCUUUCUAAGUUUCGGUUUCCAGAGUGCAGGAACCCUUGAGGCUUGCCACUGUGUUAAAGGGCCGUGCUGAAAUUGCCGAGUUCCGGUUUGCAUUCUAGUGGCUCGUGGAUGUGGACCUUUUCAUUUUGUCUUCACAUAAUUUUUAUUGUAAACAAAGCAUCAGUGUGGAGAUUGAAAUCGAGUGCCCAGUGACUGAGAAACGGUGCCUGCCCCAGUAGAUGCUAGUGACCUGGUGGAUGGAGAUCAGAGAAUUGUAGGAGGCUGUGUUCCCAAUCACCUGGUGACCUUUAAGAAAUCCGCAGUGCAAUCUACCAGCAGGGGAAUGUUCCUGGUGUUAAAACACAACAAAUUAAAUAUGAGUAUUUUCUUUGAAAAAACGUGUUUCUUGUGUUCGCAACAAAUAAUCCAACUCCUUUUAUCUCCUGCACAUUGGCUGCAAAUAUAUUAACACCUUCCCACCCACUAAAGCCUUUUAUACAAAGGCCCUGCUCCAUUCUGGGAGCUUAAGUGAAUGAAGUGGCUGACCCCAUUCUCAUUGUCUUUCUUCCUUCCCAAAUGUUCUUUUUACACCAGCUAUUAUUUUUUUUAAAUUAAUUAAUUUAUUUUAUUACAUCUCAAAUGCUGCCCCCACUCAGGACUCCCUCAUUACCCGAUAUCCCUCCCCUUCCAGAGUUCCUCCUCCAUUUUCCCUCCUACCCCUGACAGGGCAACCCCCCUUCCUCAGUUCCUCCCCACCACCCUGGUGUAUCAAGUCUCUGCAGGAUUAGACACAUCCUCUUCCGCAGAGGCCAGAUAUGGCAGCCCUCUGCUACUUAUGUGCCAGGGGCCUCCGACCAGCC
Molecule: non-coding RNA, 1933 nt
Organism: Rattus norvegicus (Norway rat)
Lineage: Eukaryota; Metazoa; Chordata; Mammalia; Rodentia; Muridae
Source: RefSeq, a predicted model, not a curated record